Long non-coding RNA from Quercus lobata, 670 nucleotides. RefSeq lists it as uncharacterized. NCBI's taxonomy places the organism in Eukaryota, Viridiplantae, Streptophyta, Magnoliopsida, Fagales, Fagaceae. The record is from RefSeq and is a predicted model, not a curated record. The transcript is spliced from 3 exons.
UCUAUUCCAAAUAACUCAGAUUCAUCCUCAAAACGAAAUCAACGGCAUCCCAAAAGCAAGUAACCAAUACUUUCGCUUUUUACUCUCUCUCUGUAGAGAUUCAAAAGCAUUUGAGUUUCUUUCUUUUCUCUUGUAUUUUUCUAUCUUUCUUUUUUCAAAAACCCAACUCAACUCUUUUUAUCGUUCUCAUUCAAAAAACAGUCAUAAAUACAUUUUUAAGUUUUAACAACAAUGGAGGAGGAUGGUAAUCAAUGGCACCGACGUUUCUUGGCAAAACCAAAGCUCCAGUUCUCACUCUCACUCUCACUACAAUUCGCCUCUUUUGCCCAGCUAUCAUAUGCAAACUUCUACUAUGGCUGAUCUAGAUCCAUAUGAGGCAUCUGUGGCCGCUCCUAAAAGUUGGCAGAGGCACUAGGACUGAAAGGGAUGUUGCUGUUGUGGCCAAUUUGAGUGCCAGGGUGGGAUCCAUCGGAGACAAUCGCCUUGGGGGUUGGCACUCUUACCGAUCUUCAAAGGCUGCACUUAAUCAGUGUAUGAAUUCUUCCUUGAAGGCUUAGCAUGGAUUUUCUGGAUCAAAUACCGCAACUAAAUUUGACAUAAUUUUUUAAAUAAAAAAGGGAUGUGAUCCUUGAGGUAAUGCUCUUAGAGACGUGCUCAAGAAGUACCGAAA